This 852-nucleotide ribosomal RNA is filed under the name uncultured bacterium. RNAcentral describes it as "bacterial SSU rRNA". It matches the Rfam family "Bacterial small subunit ribosomal RNA", at positions 8 to 849 of the family's 1533-position model. The record is from RNAcentral.
AGAGUUUGAUCAUGGCUCAGAUUGAACGCUGGCGGCAGGCUUAACACAUGCAAGUCGAACGGUAACAGGAAGGAAGCUUGCUUUCUUUGCUGACGAGUGGCGGACGGGUGAGUAAUGCUUGGGAAUCUGGCUUAUGGAGGGGGAUAACUACGGGAAACUGUAGCUAAUACCGCGUAAUAUCUUCGGAUUAAAGGGUGGGACCGUAAGGCCACCUGCCAUAAGAUGAGCCCAAGUGGGAUUAGGUAGUUGGUGGGGUAAAGGCCUACCAAGCCGACGAUCUCUAGCUGGUCUGAGAGGAUGACCAGCCACACUGGAACUGAGACACGGUCCAGACUCCUACGGGAGGCAGCAGUGGGGAAUAUUGCACAAUGGGGGGAACCCUGAUGCAGCCAUGCCGCGUGAAUGAAGAAGGCCUUCGGGUUGUAAAGUUCUUUCGGUGAUGAGGAAGGCGGUUGUUUUAAUAGAACAAUCGAUUGACGUUAGUCACAGAAGAAGCACCGGCCAACUCCGUGCCAGCAGCCGCGGUAAUACGGAGGGUGCGAGCGUUAAUCGGAAUGACUGGGCGUAAAGGGCACGCAGGCGGUGACUUAAGUGAGAUGUGAAAGCCCCGGGCUUAACCUGGGAAUUGCAUUUCAUACUGGGUCGCUAGAGUGUUUUAGGGAGGGGUAGAAUUCCACGUGUAGCGGUGAAAUGCGUAGAGAUGUGGAGGAAUACCGAAGGCGAAGGCAGCCCCUUGGGAAUAUACUGACGCUCAUGUGCGAAAGCGUGGGGAGCAAACAGGAUUAGAUACCCUGGUAGUCCACGCUGUAAACGCUGUCGAUUUGGGGAUUGGGCUUUAAGCUUGGUGCCCGU